GACAACCAGGAUGUUGGCUUAGAAGCAGCCACCAUUGAAAGAGUGCGUAAUAGCUCACUGGUCGAGUGACCCCGCGCCGAAAAUGUACCGGGGCUAAACAUAUUACCGAAACUGUGGAUGAACCUCUUUAGAGGUUCGUGGUAGGAGAGCGUUCUAAGGGCGGUGAAGUCAGACCGGAAGGACUGGUGGAGCGCUUAGAAGUGAGAAUGCCGGUAUGAGUAGCGAAAGAAGGGUGAGAAUCCCUUCCACCGAAUAUCUAAGGUUUCCUGAGGAAGGCUCGUCCGCUCAGGGUUAGUCGGGACCUAAGCCGAGGCCGAUAGGCGUAGGCGAUGGACAACAGGUAGAGAUUCCUGUACCAGUG
RNAcentral lists this ribosomal RNA (361 nucleotides) under Listeria monocytogenes. Its description in RNAcentral is "bacterial LSU rRNA". It matches the Rfam family "Bacterial large subunit ribosomal RNA", at positions 1088 to 1449 of the family's 2925-position model. Lineage: Bacteria; Bacillati; Bacillota; Bacilli; Caryophanales; Listeriaceae. The record is from RNAcentral.